GACGAACGCUGGCGGCGUGCUUAACACAUGCAAGUCGAACGGAAAGGCCCUGCUUUUGUGGGGUGCUCGAGUGGCGAACGGGUGAGUAACACGUGAGUAACCUGCCCUUGACUUUGGGAUAACUUCAGGAAACUGGGGCUAAUACCGGAUAGGAGCUCCUGCUGCAUGGUGGGGGUUGGAAAGUUUCGGCGGUUGGGGAUGGACUCGCGGCUUAUCAGCUUGUUGGUGGGGUAGUGGCUUACCAAGGCUUUGACGGGUAGCCGGCCUGAGAGGGUGACCGGCCACAUUGGGACUGAGAUACGGCCCAGACUCCUACGAGAGGCAGCAGUGGGGAAUAUUGCACGAUGGGCGGAAGCCUGAUGCAGCAACGCCGCGUGCGGGAUGACGGCCUUCGGGUUGUAAACCGCUUUCGCCUGUGACGAAGCGUGAGUGACGGUAAUGGGUAAAGAAGCACCGGCUAACUACGUG
RNAcentral lists this ribosomal RNA (468 nucleotides) under uncultured bacterium. RNAcentral describes it as "partial 16S ribosomal RNA". It matches the Rfam family "Bacterial small subunit ribosomal RNA", at positions 28 to 507 of the family's 1533-position model. The record is from RNAcentral.